AAAGGAAUUGACGGGGACCCGCACAAGCGGUGGAGCAUGUGGUUUAAUUCGAAGCAACGCGAAGAACCUUACCAGGUCUUGACAUCCCGAUGACCGGCCCGUAACGGGGCCUUCUCUUCGGAGCAUUGGAGACAGGUGGUGCAUGGUUGUCGUCAGCUCGUGUCGUGAGAUGUUGGGUUAAGUCCCGCAACGAGCGCAACCCUUAUCCUCAGUAGCCAGCAGGUCAAGCUGGGCACUCUGUGGAGACUGCCAGGGAUAACCUGGAGGAAGGUGGGGAUGACGUCAAAUCAUCAUGCCCCUUAUGAUCUGGGCUACACACGUGCUACAAUGGCGUAAACAAAGGGAGGCAAAGCCGCGAGGUGGAGCAAAUCCCAAAAAUAACGUCUCAGUUCGGACUGCAGUCUGCAACUCGACUGCACGAAGCUGGAAUCGCUAGUAAUCGCGAAUCAGAAUGUCGCGGUGAAUACGUUCCCGGGUCUUGUACACACCGCCCGU
Molecule: ribosomal RNA, 495 nt
Filed under: uncultured bacterium
Lineage: Bacteria
Description: bacterial SSU rRNA
Rfam family: Bacterial small subunit ribosomal RNA
Source: RNAcentral